This 3852-nucleotide long non-coding RNA is filed under the name Sus scrofa (pig). RNAcentral's name for it is "lncRNA (ENSSSCG00000059947.1)". The record is from RNAcentral. Lineage: Eukaryota; Metazoa; Chordata; Mammalia; Artiodactyla; Suidae.
GCAUAUGGAGGUUCCCAGGCUAGGGGUCGAAUCGGAGCUGCAGCCACCGGCCUACGCCAGAGCCACAGCAACGCGGGAUCCGAGCUGUGUCUGCAACCUACACCACAGCUCACGGCAACGCCGGAUUGUUAACCCACUGAGCAAGGGCAGGGACCGAACCUGCAACCUCAUGGUUCCUAGUCGGAUUCGUUAACCACUGAGCCAUGACGGGAACUCCAAAGCAGAGCACUUUUGAAAAAUUUGUUGAAUGGCCCAGAUUUUAAUCUCAUGCCUCAAAUGCACAAAUAUGUCUUAGUUCCUUCUAAUAUAAUGAAUGGCAUUGGUGCUGGGGGCGGGGGAGCGGUUCUUCUGUAUGAGAGUAUGAAUUUUAAAGUCAUAGAUAGACUGUGGUUCAAAUCUAGGUUUUAUCUCUUAACAUCUUUAUGUUAGGAGGGCAUUUAACCGCUUGGAACCUCUACCUCUCCAUCUUUGAAAGAGGAAUAAUUAAGAGCACUUUUCUCAUAGAGCUGUUAAUGAGAAUGAGAUGAGAUGAUGCCUGUGAAAAAUUUAGCAAAUCCCUGGCAUGAAAUACCUAAUAUUACUUUGGGCUGGGUUUUUUUUUUUUUUUUCAAUUUUUAAAUUAUUUUAUUAAUGAUUUUUGUUUUUUUUCCAUUUUAGCUGGUUUACAAUGUUCUGUCAGUUUUCUACUGUACAGCAAGGUAACCCAGUCACACAUACAUACAUGCAUUCUUUCUUCUUGCUGUUUUUGACACUGUUAAUACUUUUGCUACUGUUGAUGUUGUUGGGGGCAGUGAUUGACAGUGGGUUAUCAUUAGGUAAUACUGAGAGCUAAGCUUGCUGAAUGAUAUCAUCCAUAAUUCAUAAGAAUUGCCCAUGUGAGAUUUGGGAAUGAGCAAACUGUCCUCAAGUUCAGGGCUCAACAAACUAUAAACCACUACCUGUUUUUGUGAGUAAAGUUUUAUUGGAACACAGUCUUGUCUGCUCUUUUGGCUAUAGUUAAUGCCCAUUUUCAUGUUACAACUACAGAGUUGAGUAGCUGCCACAUAGACUUUUGAUGAAAAAGCCUAGAAUAUUUUUAUCUGGCCCUUUAUGGAAAAGGUUUGCCAACUUCUCACACUGAUAUAGCCUGGGUUUUUGAGCAGAUGUUAGCCUGACUCAUAAACAAAACUGUUCAGAGAUUUGGAACAUCUCUCUCUCUCUUUUUUCCCAGCUUCGCAUUUCCCUUGAGCUGAAAUAUCCCCAGCAAAUGUUCUAGUUAGCAUUCAUAGUGAUUUUGGUGGUCCUGCUUUUGGAAAGUCCUGGGAGGAACAAAGAUGAGGGAGUGAUGUGCUUUAGGAGAUGGAUCAAGGAAAAGAGUGUGUGUUGGCAGUCGUGGGGCCCCUGGUUCUGGUGUUCUGAGCAUUAGUUUGCUUCCAUGUAUGAGGUGGGGUUUGGUGAAUGAUGCUGACCUGGUCAUUCUGGUGACAUCCCACCCAGUUACUUGAGGACAAUUGCGUAAGUAUCUGAGCUGUGGAGAGCUUGUUUUAAGGCCAUUGUCAUGAUGGCAUUUCUUUAAUCUGAGUAUAACUUUUCACGUUAGGGCUCGCUGCGUUAUUUCAGUUUCACUGCAUCACCUUGGAUAAUGUCUCCAUUCUGUUUAUAUUUGAAAUGGUAAACAACUUUACUUCUGUAGGCUUAUCAGAUGAUGCCAUUGUGAACACCUACUGCUGUAUCACAGAGGAUGGUUUAUUCAGGAGCCUGGAGACAGGCUCCAUUGUGCUCAUCUUAGGAUAUGUUUUCUCUCUGGUCUUUAAUUUUUGCUAUUCUAGAAAAGUGUGGUCAUGAUAUCUCAGUUCAACAUGAAAACAUCAGGCAAAAGAGAUAUGAGGUGGAACAUAAAUGUGUGAUUAUUACUAAUUCUUAAAAAUAGCAGCGUAAUUUCAAGAUUGCCUUCUAUCUUUGAAUUUAUUUUCUUUAUACCAACACAGGGAAAAAGGAGGAAAGACAUUGAUGUAUUUCAUGCAGAAUUACACUGAAAAAAAAAAUAAAAGCAAUAGUUUAAGUAAGAGUGUCUCAUUAGAAAUAUCAAAACACUUUUUUUCUGUGACUAAGAUACAGAUUUUUUUUCUGUGUUACUUGAGGUGAUGACAGCUCAUGAAUUUUGGAAUUUGCCCAGAACUUCUGUAAUUAUUACACAAAAAGUAGCACAUGCUAGGUAGGUCAUCGUUGCCGGAAAGGGAAAUGGGAAACAAAUUUGGAGUGAGUUCAAGUGGAAAUUUGAGGCAUUUUUAUAAAGCUCUCUGUUUUUUCUCCUCCCCCUCAAAGACUUGGGGAAAAAACAGGUGGUGGUUUCUCCUCCCACCCCUUUUUAACUUACCCUGUUUGGUUUUCUGCAUUUUUAAUAAUCCGUAGCUCAUGUUCCUUUUGUUUAGAAAGAUUCUCUGCAUCGAUACAAGGCGGGGGGGCCAUUCUUCACUGUUUGAGAAAUCCAAACUUGAGACAUGCCAGGACCACAGUUCCUUGCAAGAAGUGUCUGGUGUUGCACUGGGUGAAGGUCAAGCAGUAUUAUUCUAAGAGGCAUUCCUUUUUUGGUCAGGAAAUUGUGGAGGAGAUCUCCAACGUCCUUCCUAAUUGUCCUGAGGUUUGAUGACUUGCUCAGCUGUAAAAUGGAGAUACAAGGAUAUACCUUACAGGAUGGCUUUGGGGGUUAAUGGUACCUGGUAUAGGUCUUAAUUGUAUGCUGCCUCACCCCACUAUUCAUAAGAACAUUUUGUUUUAUAAUGUAUGUGUGUAAGGUGGGGGGGGGUUGGUUCUCAUUUCUCCAGCUAAAUGUAGAGUUUUUGAGGAUAGGAAUUACAGCUUAUAAUUCCUUGUUUUUCCUGCUGUGUGCCUGCAUAUCUCAUUUUGUAGAUAUUUGGUACAUAUUUUUCAAGGGGGGUGAAUGGAUGGAUAGAUAAAUGAAUUCAUGCCAGAGUCUAUGAUUGGAAACUUACUAAGGGGAUCCUGCCAUGAAAUCCAGAUAAAUUAGUGGGUGAUUUACAAAAGGUUUCACCGUUGGAUCCUUUUAAGUAGCGAGCUCCCCUGGUGAACUUAAGAUAUAAUUAAAUUCCUAAAAUAGCAUUUCUAUGCCUAUUUUUAAUAAUGUCUAUACAGGGUGAAGCAAAACAUGCCUGCCAAAGUCAGCUUUUGUCAUUAGAAGAAUGGAAAGCACUGUAGAACCUUAAAGUUUAAUGUUAAUAUUGUCAUAUUAUUUGCCCCUCUCCAAAUGCCUCCUACGAAGUCUCUUAAGGGAAUCAUUUCCCCAGAGACAUUUUCUUUGCAAUAAAGAUCCUCUGAUCCGAUGGCACCACACUGUUGAGAGUCAUUCUCCUAAGUCCUGGCUCAAAGGUAUCUCCACCUGAUCUCACCCUCAGUUCAUCAGUCUCCCUUUUAUAUUUUACCAUUAAUUUCUGUCUUCUCUAUGCUUUCCUACUCAUCUAUUUACAGUUUUGAAGUAGAAGUUAUUUAUUUUUUUUUGUUCAGCACCCUUAUUAAUUGCUUGCUGUGUGCCAAGUGUUGUGCUAUCAUGGGAGGGGCCCGAGAAAUUCCUCAGAUUUGCUACUGCCAGGUCCCAGCCAAAAGAUGGGCAGGUGUUGGAGUUCCCGUCAUGGCUCAGUGGUUAAUGAAUCCGACUAGGAACCAUGAGUUGUGGGUUCGAUCCUUGGCCUUGCUCAGUGGGUUAAGGAUCCGGCCUUGCUGUGAGCUGUGGUGUAGGUGGCAGACGCGGCUCGGAUCCCGCGUUGCUGUGGCUCUGGCGUAGGCUGGUGGCUACAUCUCCCAUUUGAUCCCUAGCCUGGGAACCUCUAUAUGCCAUGGGAGUGGCCCAAGAAAUGG